Molecule: non-coding RNA, 844 nt
Organism: Triticum urartu
Lineage: Eukaryota; Viridiplantae; Streptophyta; Magnoliopsida; Poales; Poaceae
Source: RefSeq, a predicted model, not a curated record
ACAUUUAGUUUGCUUUUCUAUUGCUGGGUAAUCUUCUUAUGCCAUCAUUUUCUUAGUAUUUUUAUGGUGCAGGUAUCUGGUCUAGAUCCGACGGAGACAAGCAAAAUUUUGCUGCUUCUUCUUCUUUCGAUUGAAAAUCCAGGUGAAAACUUUCAGGAACUCAGGACGACACACAUUGAUUAUAUUUCAUUGUGAUGGCCGUUGCCGACACAGCUACUAUGGGUACAAGCAACUUCUAUUUCGCUCGUCAUAGGAAACCACCGCCCAGAUCCAUCUCUUCUCAACCAUGCCGACGUGGUGGUUAGGGGCGCUUACAACUUGUGAGGGCCUGCGUUCUCGUUGUUGAUCCGUGAUGGCAUGGCCUCCCCGCGCCCUAGCCGCGUUCUAGCUGAUGGUUUGGGUCUGCCAGCAGAGGGAGAGGGGGACGACCUCUGUCGCUCCUUCUCUCUAGCCUCUUCAUCUUGAUGAAGCCGUAGGAGUAGAGGGGCACACGUGUGAUGGAUCUGCUCCAAGCACCUCAAGCGACGCAUCUUCAAGGUGAUCACUUCAUCCACAUUCAAUCUCAGUUCCCGCGUUUACUCCGAGGAGAGUUCAAAAGCAGCAGGAGCAUUUGUUCUACUGCUGGUCGGAGGGAGAGCUUGGCAAGGGAGAUAGAGGGAGCUCUACAACCACGAUCUUGGCAUACAACCCGAUGGCAUCAUGCCCACCUUGUGUGUUUCAUUGAUGGAGGAGGUAUAAAUCUGUUCCUUAAAGCGAGCAAAUCAAAACAAAAGCGCAGGAGGUAUCCGACAACACUGACGACUGCUACGCCAUUCCACUUAGACCUGAAGGCAACAUCAAAGGG